This 497-nucleotide ribosomal RNA is filed under the name uncultured bacterium. RNAcentral's name for it is "bacterial SSU rRNA". It matches the Rfam family "Bacterial small subunit ribosomal RNA", at positions 17 to 518 of the family's 1533-position model. The record is from RNAcentral.
UUAUGGCUCAGGAUGAACGCUGGCGGCGUGCUUAACACAUGCAAGUCGAACGCUGAAGCUCCCAGCUUGCUGGGGGUGGAUGAGUGGCGAACGGGUGAGUAUCACGUGAGUAACCUGCCCUUGACUCUGGGAUAAGCCCGGGAAACUGGGUCUAAUACUGGAUAGGACUGGCCAUCGCAUGGUGGUUGGUUGAAAGCUUUUGCGGUUUUUGGAUGGACUCGCGGCCUAUCAGCUUGUUGGUGGGGUAAUGGCCUACCAAGGCUUUGACGGGUAGCCGGCCUGAGAGGGUGACCGGCCACACUGGGACUGAGACACGGCCCAGACUCCUACGGGAGGCAGCAGUGGGGGAUAUUGCACAAUGGGCGCAAGCCUGAUGCAGCGACGCCGCGUGAGGGAUGACGGCCUUCGGGUUGUAAACCUCUUUCAGUUGGGAAGAAGCCUUUCGGGGUGACGGUACCUUCAGAAGAAGCACCGGCUAACUACGUGCCAGCCGCCGC